Long non-coding RNA from Rosa rugosa (rugosa rose), 2440 nucleotides. RefSeq lists it as uncharacterized. The record is from RefSeq and is a predicted model, not a curated record. Lineage: Eukaryota; Viridiplantae; Streptophyta; Magnoliopsida; Rosales; Rosaceae. The transcript has 4 exons.
GGGAUGCUGUGAAUUUUGUGGGGAUUGUUGCCUCUGACCAGAUUCCAGCUUGAGGAUUUUUCUUUUCAAAUGUUGAAUUUCUUUCCUGCUGGUCAGAUUUUGGAUCAGAUUUGGAACAAUUUCUAGUGUUGUUUGAUGCAUCAUAGUCCAUUAGAGGUAUGUGUCCAUUAGAGGAUUUGACACAUACAGAAUUUAGAACUUUUCUAUAAUGUCAUACCUGUAGUAGAAUUGUUAUGAGGUGAUGUCGGACAGAUGGUUGGAAAUGUUCUACUUGGGACUGGUGGAGCAGUUAUGAGAGAGAGUUUUUCUAAUUAUCUAAGGAAGUUAUUUUAUUUGAGUUUGAUCAGAAUUCCAAUCAAGUAUUUAAUAAUACGGAUAGUGGUGUUUUCGGUUGUGAGAAUUACAUUGGUAUAUGGAUUAAGAAUAUCAAUUGGGGCAACAGAGAUCAACGAGAACGACAUGGAUUCAACCAGAUUUUAGAUCUAUGACUAUUAAAGAAGUGUAGCUUCGGCUAAGAACAACUUGAGUGUGAUGCAUCUUCUUCCGGAUAUGAUUCAUUGAGCUGGAGUAGAGUUAGUAGUUAUAAUUCUUGCUUGCACUGGAUUUUUGAGGAUGUGGUACAAGACAUGGUAGUUAAGCGAGUACUAACUUGUGAGAAUUAUUAGCAGUUUUGAUCGGAGGCAUUUGUAAAUAGUAAAUUUCUUGUGACACAUUUGAUUUAGAAAAGUUUUUCCACAUUAUCGUAUUUAUAAAAGUUUUUGAGUGAGGUGUUAUAUGUGUGGCCAGUAAGGUAGCUAUCAAAUGAGUUUUCUUAGUCGGCUCGGAACGUCAUCUCAAAGCUGGACUAAUGAUUUUAGUCAGAUAUCAGAGUAGCGCAGUGGAAGUGUAGUGGCCCCAUAAUCUACUUGGUUAAGAACUUAUAGGUUCGUUUGAGGUCGACCUUUGUAUGUUUGACAACUAUGGGACCUUUACGUGAACGACAUUCGAUUAGGAACUUAAGCACAAACAAGGAAGUGCUGUCUUGUGGUAGCUAAGGAAGUGAUGUGUUUUGGAAUUGUUGAUUAGCAGUGACCAUCUUGUGGCAUGGUUAUCACAAUGUUGUUGGUAAAUGGGUUGGAUUUUCACUAAGCGACUUUUGUGAGAAGGUUAUGAAUGCUAUAAUUUUAACAGGGUGAUUUGUGACGUUAAUACCAUGUGUUAUCUGAGCUAACCAUUGAAAUGAAUUUUCUUUUACACCGGAAUUCAUGUACUUGCGAGUUUAUGGUGCUACAUGGUUUAACAAGACAAGUGAAUCGACUUUGGACGUUGAUAAUUUUGGAUUAUAGGCAUGUCUUCAUUGCUUUUGUAGUGGGGAUCAUAACAGUUUUUGUGGUUGUUGAUUUGAGGUCGCGAAAGGGAAAGCUUAAUCUAAGUUAGAGUUGGUAAGUUUUGAGAUUGUGGUAUUUUGAAGCAAUUGAUGUGCUAUUUCUUUCUAACCAGCAUGAAAUUUCGAGGGCGAAAUUUUUAUAAGGAGGGGAGAAUGUAACAUCCCGUAUCUUAAUUCACCGGUUUACUAGUCAUUUGGACAGUAAACGACUAUUUGAUUUACUUUUACUCUUUUUCGGUAACUUUAGUGGCCCUAAAAGUUGACUUUUUGUUCGGGUCAAAAUUUGAGAAAAUAUUCUUCAUGAAAGUUGUAGAGGACGUUAAACCGAGCGCGUGCAUAUGUGGUACGUAAAAAUCGGAGUUCAUAUGUGAAAGUUAUAAGCGAAAUACUAAAGUUACUGUUCAUAUAGUAAGUUUCUAUAAAUAGCCGAGUUACUGUGGUAAGUUUCCAUUUUCGGAAACUUACCGAGCCUCUCCCCGAUUCUCUCUUCCUCUCCGACCUCUUCACCUUCUUCCGGCCAUAACUCCUCCAUCCGGCGACGGAUUUUGACGUGUAAGAUGUCGUUGGAAAGCUCUCUUCCUUCUCUUCAUUUCUGGGUUCGUUUCGUAGCUUAAUAUGAACUGUGGAAGGUGCAGCAACGAGAAGAAGAGGACGGUCACUGUAGCAGUUUUGAGUCAACGCCGAUAUUUUCCGAUUCCGGCAGUCUCCGGCCACCAAAUUGGCGUCGAAGGGUUCUUGGAAUUUCUGGAAAUUUUUCACCGGCCAAAUUGGAGCUCUUCCAGGGCAAUGCCGCGAGCUACAGUUAAAUGAAGGAACUCGUUUGCGUGGUCGCCCAAUAGUACUUUUGCAGGCGAAAUUAGUUGAGGUCGGGCGUACAUGGAGUCGAGGCAUAGCCAACAGCAUUGCAUCCGCGUACUCAUUCUAUUUUUGUUUUCUUUGUUACCUAGUGGAUUAGUAUUGCUCUGAUAACCUAUGGGAUUAAUAUUGUUUUUGGGUUGAGACUGAUAUUUGUGAAAUUGGAGUUGUGAUUUGGGAGCAGAUGGCUCCAGAAGAUUAAGGAUUGAUGAUUUAGAA